RNAcentral lists this ribosomal RNA (433 nucleotides) under uncultured Anaerovorax sp. RNAcentral describes it as "partial 16S ribosomal RNA". It matches the Rfam family "Bacterial small subunit ribosomal RNA", at positions 341 to 792 of the family's 1533-position model. The record is from RNAcentral. Lineage: Bacteria; Bacillati; Bacillota; Clostridia; Peptostreptococcales; Anaerovoracaceae.
ACGGAAGGCAGCAGUGGGGAAUAUUGCACAAUGGGCGAAAGCCUGAUGCAGCAACGCCGCGUGAAGGAAGAAGGCCCUUGGGUCGUAAACUUCUGUUCUAAGGGAAGAUAAUGACGGUACCUUAGGAGCAAGUCCCGGCUAACUACGUGCCAGCAGCCGCGGUAAUACGUAGGGGGCGAGCGUUAUCCGGAAUUAUUGGGCGUAAAGAGUACGUAGGUGGUUUCCUAAGAAUGGGGUUUAAGGCAAUAGCUCGACUAUUGUUCGCCCCAUGAACUGGGUUACUUGAGUGCUGGAGAGGAAAGCGGAAUUCCUAGUGUAGCGGUGAAAUGCGUAGAUAUUAGGAGGAACACCAGUGGCGAAGGCGGCUUUCUGGACAGUAACUGACACUGAGGUACGAAAGUGUGGGGAGCAAACAGGAUUAGAUACCCUGGUA